RNAcentral lists this long non-coding RNA (769 nucleotides) under Citrus sinensis (sweet orange). RNAcentral describes it as "long non-coding RNA (CSIN_LNC004657)". Lineage: Eukaryota; Viridiplantae; Streptophyta; Magnoliopsida; Sapindales; Rutaceae. The record is from RNAcentral.
AAAUAAUCGCAAUCUUUGUUCUCGUUUUAAUUUUCCCUACUACUCUAGCCGACUCUUCUCUUUCGGGUAUGUAUUCCCCUAAAUUCAUCAUUUCGAUUUAAGGGAAAAAAAGAAAAAAAAACGAUUGAUUUUGCGGUUUGAUCUUAUUUGAUUUAUUUCCUCUCUUUUCAGGUCGUUUUGUGGGGAACGUCACACAGGUAUUAGUGUAUUCAACGAAUUUGGAGCUUUAGGGUGCGUUUGGGAUUGAGGUACUGUAGCUUUUAAGCUACAGAUGCUGUGAAAAAAAAGCUGUAAUUAUGAAAUAAAAGUUAAUAAUAUAUAAUAAAUAUAAAUUUUAAAUAAUAAUUUUAUCAAAAUUAUUAAAGAUAUGUUUACUUUUAUAUUAUACAAGUGAAAAAUUAUAUCAACAUAGCUUAAAAGCUACAGCAGUUAGUGUUUACCAAACACUUUAGUGCUGUAGCUUUUAAGCUACAGCUGCCCAACCUCAAUCCCAAACGCACCCUUAGUUAUAUAUCACCGGCGAUUUUUUUUCCCCCUUCGUGAAAUUUUUAGAUAUUCUUUAACGUAUAUUUUUCUCUAUUUUUAAUUUUAUUUAUUCAUCUGUACUUUUCGGAAUUGACAGGAGUCUCACCCAGAGAACAGAGGCAGCGGCAGCGGCAACUGGACUGCCGGUGCUGGUGGAAGACCGGUCCAAUCAAAUCCUAACACUUUUCAUCACCAUUAAAGUCGCAUUGAGAAUGGAGGCAGCAACUGGGCCGCCCUCCCCGGU